This 99-nucleotide small nuclear RNA is filed under the name Gopherus evgoodei (Goodes thornscrub tortoise). The record is from RNAcentral. Lineage: Eukaryota; Metazoa; Chordata; Testudines; Testudinidae.
GUGCUCGCUUCGGCAGCACAUAUACUAAAAUUGGAAUGAUACAGAGAAGAUUAGCAUGGCCCUGCGCAAAGAUGACACGCAAAUUCGUGAAGUGUUUUU